AUACGGAGGGUGCAAGCGUUAUUCGGAAUCACUGGGCGUAAAGGACGCGUAGGCGGGUUGGCAAGUCAGAUGUGAAAUCCUACAGCUUAACUGUAGAACUGCAUUUGAAACUGCUAACCUAGAGUAUGGGAGGGGGAGAUGGAAUUAGUGGUGUAGGGGUAAAAUCCGUAGGUAUCACUAGGAAUACCGAAAGCGAAGGCGUUCUCCUGGAACAUAACUGACGCUAAGGCGUGAAAGCGUGGGGAGCAAACAGGAUUAGAUACCCCAGUAGUCC
Molecule: ribosomal RNA, 274 nt
Filed under: uncultured bacterium
Lineage: Bacteria
Description: partial 16S ribosomal RNA
Rfam family: Bacterial small subunit ribosomal RNA
Source: RNAcentral